GAGUUUGAUCCUGGCUCAGAUUGAACGCUGGCGGCAGGCCUAACACAUGCAAGUCGAGCGGUAGAGAGAAGCUUGCUUCUCUUGAGAGCGGCGGACGGGUGAGUAAUGCCUAGGAAUCUGCCUGGUAGUGGGGGAUAACGCUCGGAAACGGACGCUAAUACCGCAUACGUCCUACGGGAGAAAGCAGGGGACCUUCGGGCCUUGCGCUUAUCAGAUGAGCCUAGGUCGGAUUAGCUAGUUGGUGAGGUAAUGGCUCACCAAGGCGACGAUCCGUAACUGGUCUGAGAGGAUGAUCAGUCACACUGGAACUGAGACACGGUCCAGACUCCUACGGGAGGCAGCAGUGGGGAAUAUUGGACAAUGGGCGAAAGCCUGAUCCAGCCAUGCCGCGUGUGGGAAGAAGGCUUUCUGAGUUGUAAACUACUUUUGAUCGGGAACAAAGAUCCCUGCGGGAGCAUUGAGUGUACCGAUAGAAUAAGCACCGGCUAACUCCGUGCCAGCCGCCG
This 506-nucleotide ribosomal RNA is filed under the name uncultured bacterium. RNAcentral's name for it is "bacterial SSU rRNA". It matches the Rfam family "Bacterial small subunit ribosomal RNA", at positions 9 to 517 of the family's 1533-position model. The record is from RNAcentral.